CCUACGGGUGGCAGCAGUGGGGAAUAUUGCACAAUGGGGGAAACCCUGAUGUAGCGACGCCGCGUGAGUGAAGAAGUAAUUCGUUAUGUAAAGCUCCAUUAGUCGGGAAGAAAAUGACGGUACCUGAGUAAGAAGCCCCGUCUAACUACGUGCCAGCAGCCGUGGUAACACGUAGGGGGCAAGCGUUAUCCGGAUUUUCUGGGGGUAAAGGGAGCGUAGACGGUAGUGCAAGUCUGGAGUGAAAGGCGGGGGUUCAACCCCCGGACUGCUCUGGAAACUGUACGGCUGGAGUGCAGGAGAGGUAAGUGGAAUUCGUGGUGUAGCGGUGAAAUGCGUAGAUAUUAGGAGGAACACCAGUGGCGAAGGCAGCUUACUGGACUGUAACUGACGUUGAGGCUCGAAAGCGUGGGGAGCAAACAGGAUUAGAUACCCGGGUAGUC
RNAcentral lists this ribosomal RNA (440 nucleotides) under uncultured bacterium. RNAcentral describes it as "partial 16S ribosomal RNA". It matches the Rfam family "Bacterial small subunit ribosomal RNA", at positions 338 to 795 of the family's 1533-position model. The record is from RNAcentral.